RNAcentral lists this ribosomal RNA (496 nucleotides) under uncultured bacterium. RNAcentral's name for it is "partial 16S ribosomal RNA". It matches the Rfam family "Bacterial small subunit ribosomal RNA", at positions 28 to 507 of the family's 1533-position model. The record is from RNAcentral.
GACGAACGCUGGCGGCGUGCCUAAUACAUACAAGUUGAGCGAUGAAGAUUGGUGCUUGCACCAAUUUGAAGAGCAGCGAACGGGUGAGUAACGCGUGGGGAAUCUGCCUUUGAGCGGGGACAACAUUUGGAAACGAAUGCUAAUACCGCAUAACAACUUUAAACAUAAGUUUUAAGUUUGAAAGAUGCAAUUGCAUCACUCAAAGAUGAUCCCGCGUUGUAUUAGCUAGUUGGUGAGGUAAAGGCUCACCAAGGCGAUGAUACAUAGCCGACCUGAGAGGGUGAUCGGCCACAUUGGGACUGAGACACGGCCCAAACUCCUACGGGAGGCAGCAGUAGGGAAUCUUCGGCAAUGGACGAAAGUCUGACCGAGCAACGCCGCGUGAGUGAAGAAGGUUUUCGGAUCGUAAAACUCUGUUGGUAGAGAAGAACGUUGGUGAGAGUGGAAAGCUCAUCAAGUGACGGUAACUACCCAGAAAGGGACGGCUAACUACGUG